RNAcentral lists this ribosomal RNA (301 nucleotides) under uncultured bacterium. RNAcentral describes it as "partial 16S ribosomal RNA". It matches the Rfam family "Bacterial small subunit ribosomal RNA", at positions 509 to 807 of the family's 1533-position model. The record is from RNAcentral.
CAGCCGCCGCGGGAAUACGAAGGGUGCAAGCGUUAAUCGGAAUUACUGGGCGUAAAGCGUGCGUAGGCGGUUUGUUAAGUCUGUUGUGAAAUCCCCGGGCUCAACCUGGGAAUGGCAAUGGAUACUGGCAAGCUAGAGUGUGUCAGAGGAUGGUGGAAUUCCCGGUGUAGCGGUGAAAUGCGUAGAGAUCGGGAGGAACAUCAGUGGCGAAGGCGGCCAUCUGGGACAACACUGACGCUGAGGCACGAAAGCGUGGGGAGCAAACAGGAUUAGAUACCCGGGUAGUCCCUGUCUCUUAUAC